UCGGGAAUUUUGGGCAAUGGGCGAAAGCCUGACCCAGCAACGCCGCGUGAGGGAUGAAGUAUUUCGGUAUGUAAACCUCGAAAGAAUGGGAAGAAUAAAUGACGGUACCAUUUAUAAGCUCCGGCUAACUACGUGCCAGCAGCCGCGGUAAUACGUAGGGAGCAAGCGUUGUUCGGAUUUACUGGGCGUAAAGGGCGCGUAGGCGGCGCGGUAAGUCACUUGUGAAAUCUCUGAGCUUAACUCAGAACGGCCAAGUGAUACUGCUGUGCUAGAGUGCGGAAGAGGCAACCGGAAUUCUUGGUGUAGCGGUGAAAUGCGUAGAUAUCAAGAGGAACACCUGAGACGAAGGCGGGUUGCUGGGCCGACACUGACGCUGAUGCGCGAAAGCCAGGGGAGCAAACG
Molecule: ribosomal RNA, 402 nt
Filed under: uncultured bacterium
Lineage: Bacteria
Description: bacterial SSU rRNA
Rfam family: Bacterial small subunit ribosomal RNA
Source: RNAcentral